Molecule: ribosomal RNA, 800 nt
Filed under: uncultured bacterium
Lineage: Bacteria
Description: bacterial SSU rRNA
Rfam family: Bacterial small subunit ribosomal RNA
Source: RNAcentral
AGAGUUUGAUCCUGGCUCAGAUUGAACGCUGGCGGAAUGCUUUACACAUGCAAGUCGAACGGCAGCACGGGUGCUUGCACCUGGUGGCGAGUGGCGAACGGGUGAGUAAUGCAUCGGAACGUACCGAGUAAUGGGGGAUAACGCAGCGAAAGUUGUGCUAAUACCGCAUACGCCCUGAGGGGGAAAGUGGGGGAUCGUAAGACCUCACGUUAUUCGAGCGGCCGACGUCUGAUUAGCUAGUUGGUGGGGUAAAGGCCUACCAAGGCGACGAUCAGUAGCGGGUCUGAGAGGAUGAUCCGCCACACUGGGACUGAGACACGGCCCAGACUCCUACGGGAGGCAGCAGUGGGGAAUUUUGGACAAUGGGGGCAACCCUGAUCCAGCCAUUCCGCGUGAGUGAAGAAGGCCUUCGGGUUGUAAAGCUCUUUCAGCUGGAACGAAACGGCACGCUCUAACAUAGCGUGCUAAUGACGGUACCAGCAGAAGAAGCACCGGCUAACUACGUGCCAGCAGCCGCGGUAAUACGUAGGGUGCGAGCGUUAAUCGGAAUUACUGGGCGUAAAGCGUGCGCAGGCGGAUUGUUAAGCAAGACGUGAAAUCCCCGGGCUUAACCUGGGAAUGGCGUUUUGAACUGGCAGUCUAGAGUGCGUCAGAGGGGGGUGGAAUUCCACGUGUAGCAGUGAAAUGCGUAGAGAUGUGGAGGAACACCGAUGGCGAAGGCAGCCCCCCUGGGAUGACACUGACGCUCAUGUACGAAAGCGCGGGUAGCAAACAGGAUUAGAUACCCCUGGUAGUCCACG